This 195-nucleotide ribosomal RNA is filed under the name uncultured bacterium. RNAcentral describes it as "partial 16S ribosomal RNA". It matches the Rfam family "Bacterial small subunit ribosomal RNA", at positions 1305 to 1500 of the family's 1533-position model. The record is from RNAcentral.
CUGCAACUCGCUGUAUGAAGUCGGAAUUGCUAGUAAUCGCGGAUCAGCAUGCCGCGGUGAAUACGUUCCCGGGCCUUGUACACACCGCCCGUCACACCAUGAGAGCCGGGAACACCCGAAGUCCGUAGUCUAACCGCAAGGAGGACGCGGCCGAAGGUGGGUUUGGUAAUUGGGGUGAAGUCGUAACAAGGUACC